CCCGCUGAACUUAAGCAUAUCAAUAAGCGGAGGAAAAGAAACUAACAAGGAUUCCCCUAGUAACGGCGAGUGAAGCGGGAUGAGCUCAAAUUUAAAAUCUGGCUGGUUUACUAGUCCGAGUUGUAGUUUAAAGAAGCGUUUUCGGUGGCAGUCUCGGUAAAAGUCCUUUGGAAUAGGGCAUCACAGAGGGUGAGAAUCCCGUCUUUGACUGAGAAUAUGCUACUAUGUGAUACGUUUUCAAAGAGUCGAGUUGUUUGGGAAUGCAGCUCAAAAUGGGUGGUAAAUUUCAUCUAAAGCUAAAUAUUGGCGAGAGACCGAUAGCGAACAAGUACCGUGAGGGAAAGAUGAAAAGAACUUUGAAAAGAGAGUUAAACAGUGCGUGAAAUUGUUGAAAGGGAAACGCUUGAAACCAGUCAUGCGGCUGGGAAAUCAGUCUCUGACGAGGGGGAAUGGGAGAGGUGUGGACCGCAAGGCUGCUCUUUUUCAUAUCUUUUUCGGCAGGGAUGCACUUUUUCUUCCGCAGGUCAACAUCAGUUUGCUUUGCCGGACAAAACUCUUGGGAAGGUGACAGCUUAGGCUGUGUUAUAGCCCUGGAGCGAUACGGUGGAGCGGACUGAGGUUUUCGCAGCAUGUGCUCUCGGGCAAGGCUGAUUGGGUGCUAUGAGAUCGUUCAGGGUACAAUACAUGUAUUUUGCCUUGUGUCUCUUUUAUACUCGCUCAACUCGGCUCUUGCAUGCUCAGGAUGUUGACAUAAUGGUUUUAAUCGACCCGUCUUGAAACACGG
This 784-nucleotide ribosomal RNA is filed under the name uncultured fungus. RNAcentral's name for it is "eukaryotic LSU rRNA". It matches the Rfam family "Eukaryotic large subunit ribosomal RNA", at positions 24 to 664 of the family's 3401-position model. The record is from RNAcentral. Lineage: Eukaryota; Fungi.